CCCCCCUUCCCCUCUAGAAUGCAUAUAUACAUUCCAGUGCAUGUUUGGGCCUGGGGUUGACGCUGACCGAAAAGAAUGCCCAAACAAAAAGAAGAGUGCCAUCCGUCUCGAAGAGUAUAGAUCAUAAAUGUCAUUGGGAGCGGAUGUGAUUUAAGUGUGUUUCUUUGGUUUCUUUUCUUGUUUUAUUUACUUUUUUUUUGUCCAUCUUUCCACUCCUGUCUUGGCGCCUUCUGUUGCUGUUACUCUUUUGUUAGUUUGUAUACUUCCUUAUAUUUUAUUUCCAACGCCGUAUGAAAUAACGUUCUCAUCCGACCAAUCAGUC
RNAcentral lists this small RNA (322 nucleotides) under Histoplasma capsulatum. RNAcentral's name for it is "hypothetical RNA". Lineage: Eukaryota; Fungi; Ascomycota; Eurotiomycetes; Onygenales; Ajellomycetaceae. The record is from RNAcentral.